CCCAGUUCGGAUUGCAGGCUGAAACUCGCCUGCAUGAAGCCGGAGUUGCUAGUAAUCGCAAAUCAGAAUGUUGCGGUGAAUACGUUCCCGGGCCUUGUACACACCGCCCGUCACACCAUGAGAGUUGGCAACACCCGAAGUCCGUGAGGUAACCGUAAGGAGCCAGCGGCCGAAGGUGGGGUUAAUGAUUGGGGUGAAGUCGUAACAAGGUAGCCGUAGGAGAACCUGCGGCUGGAUCACCUCCUUUCUAAGGAG
Molecule: ribosomal RNA, 255 nt
Filed under: Clostridium cochlearium
Lineage: Bacteria; Bacillati; Bacillota; Clostridia; Eubacteriales; Clostridiaceae
Description: partial 16S ribosomal RNA
Rfam family: Bacterial small subunit ribosomal RNA
Source: RNAcentral